AAAAUCCGUCGAUUUUUAAUCAUGAGGGUUCAAGUCCCCUCAUCCCCA
RNAcentral lists this transfer RNA (48 nucleotides) under Zameioscirpus gaimardioides. RNAcentral describes it as "transfer RNA-Leu". Lineage: Eukaryota; Viridiplantae; Streptophyta; Magnoliopsida; Poales; Cyperaceae. The record is from RNAcentral.